AGUGAACGCUGGCGGUAGGCCUAACACAUGCCAGUCGAACGGCAGCACAGUAAGAGCUUGCUCUUACGGGUGGCGAGUGGCGGACGGGUGAGGAAUACAUCGGAAUCUACUUUUUCGUGGGGGAUAACGUAGGGAAACCUACGCUAAUACCGCAUACGACCUACGGGUGAAAGCAGGGGAUCUUCUGACCUUGCGCGAUUGAAUGCGCCGAUGUCGGAUUAGAUAGUUGGCGGGGUCAAGGCCCACCAAGGCGACGAUCCGUAGCUGGUCUGAGAGGAUGAUCAGCCACACUGGAACUGAGACACGGUCCAGACUCCUACGGGACGCAGCAGUGGGGAAUAUUGGACAAUGGGCGCAAGCCUGAUCCAGCCAUACCGCGUGGGUGAAGAAGGCCUUCGGGUUGUAAAGCCCUUUUGUUGGGAAAGAAAAGCAGCAGGUUAAUACCCCGCUGUUCUGACGGUACCCAAAGAAUAAGCACCGGCUAACUUCGUG
Molecule: ribosomal RNA, 492 nt
Filed under: uncultured bacterium
Lineage: Bacteria
Description: partial 16S ribosomal RNA
Rfam family: Bacterial small subunit ribosomal RNA
Source: RNAcentral